GCAGUGGUGAUUCAGUGGUAGAAUUCUCUCCUCCCACGCAGGAAACCCGGGUUCAAUUCCCGGCCAAUGCA
RNAcentral lists this transfer RNA (71 nucleotides) under Pongo abelii (Sumatran orangutan). It matches the Rfam family "tRNA". From Rfam's summary of the family: Transfer RNA (tRNA) molecules are approximately 80 nucleotides in length. Lineage: Eukaryota; Metazoa; Chordata; Mammalia; Primates; Hominidae. The record is from Rfam by way of RNAcentral.